GUGGGGAAUCUUCCGCAAUGGACGAAAGUCUGACGGAGCAACGCCGCGUGAGUGAAGAAGGUUUUCGGAUCGUAAAGCUCUUUCGUUAGGGACGAACGUACUCUUUGUGAAUAAUGAGGAGUAAUGACGGUACCUAAAUAAGAAGCCACGGCUAACUACGUGCCAGCAGCCGCGGUAAUACGUAGGUGGCAAGCGUUGUCCGGAAUUAUUGGGCGUAAAGCGCGCGCAGGCGGGAUAUCAAGUCUGUCUUAAAAGUGCGAGGCUCAACCUCGUGAGGGGACAGAAACUGGUAUUCUUGAGUGUCGGAGAGGAAAGUGGAAUUCCAAGUGUAGCGGUGAAAUGCGUAGAGAUUUGGAAGAACACCAGUGGCGAAGGCGACUUUCUGGACGAUGUCUGACGCUGAGGCGCGAAAGCUAGGGGAGCGAACGGGAUUAGAAACCCUGGUAGUCC
RNAcentral lists this ribosomal RNA (450 nucleotides) under uncultured bacterium. Its description in RNAcentral is "partial 16S ribosomal RNA". It matches the Rfam family "Bacterial small subunit ribosomal RNA", at positions 354 to 796 of the family's 1533-position model. The record is from RNAcentral.